This 633-nucleotide non-coding RNA is filed under the name Pongo abelii (Sumatran orangutan). The record is from RNAcentral. Lineage: Eukaryota; Metazoa; Chordata; Mammalia; Primates; Hominidae.
UGACUCUUCCAGGUUACAAAGUCAGCUCCAGGAUCAAAUAACUUUGGGCUAGAUCACGAAGGAGUUGAAUGCCAAGCUAAAGCGCUCAGAGGUUCUCCUGCGAGUAGUAGAGAACCACAAAAGGAUGAGGAGCAGCUGAGUGAGGCACCCGUGUUGUAUUUUAGUAAAAUCUCUCUGCAUUGGAGACUGCAUGGACCAGGGCGUUGCUCCUGGACAAGGUUAUAGCUAACUCAUUCUCUGCUGAGCCUGUUAUACCUCCCAGACAGGGGUAUAUGUCAGAGCCAUUCUUCAAGAUCAGAUGACCUGUUAAGUCCAAGGACUCAUCUGAACCAUCAGUCACUCUCUGGCCCAGAGAGGUGGUGUUGUUUGCCAAGGACACACAGCAGGUGGCCAAGAUGGAGCCAAGCCAUUUUCCCCACUGCAGGGACCCCUGAUCUCCAUAAGUGUCCCUGACAUUUCAAGGGCACAAAUUCUCUGGACACACGGAGGGAAUAAUGCUGACAUUUUAUAGAAGCUGACCCACUGGAUAUCCUUCUCACCCAACUCCAUUAGGCUAGGGAGAGUAAGAGGCAUGGUGACAAGGUGGCAAAGAUGUCACCAUGCCAUCCAAUCACGAGGUCUCCAGGAAACUGU